AAAUGGUGAAGGUUCAUCAUAGGUUUACAGCAUCAGCUGUGGUUGGGCCAGGCUCUGCAGGUGUGCUUUGCAGAAACAAAGCUAUCAGCAUUGCUGGCACGUGGUGAGGGUUGCAAAAUAUUGGUGGGUUUGCUAAUGGUAGUAUGGGCUUGUAAAACACAUCUUAGCCACGAGGAUGGCACUGGUGAGAAGCAGUAUCUGCAUCUUCUGUGGUAAAAUUCUCUGGUGCCAUGGCUCUGGACUAGAGACACUGGAGCAUCAAAAUGUGGAGAGCUGUAACUUACCACCCUCAGAAGCUUUAGAUUUCCCUUAAGCUUCCAUCACUUAAAGGAACCUGCGAGCCUGUGAUUCUGCGAAUCAAAACCGUUUAAAACCUCAAAACCCAACCCUGCUCAGCAGACAGCUCCUGUGACAAGGCUCUGCCCAGAGUGUAUUUUUAUGCUUGAGUUAUAAACCCUUGAAAAAUGGGGAUCCUAAUGCAAAAGCUGACACAGCUUUAACGAAAGCAGCUCCAGUAAGUGCUGCUGUAAUUAUUUGCUCGUUAAUUACGAAUUUUGCAAGACACGAGAGUAACACAAAUUGGAAAAUAGGAAUAAUUAUCAGUAAUAAUGCCACAGAAGCUGGACACAUUGAAAGUAUCUUCCUCUUUAAAUUUAAUAAUAGCAAGACAGCCAGGAAACUAAUAAGAAAUACAUAAUUGAAAAUUAACCUUGCAAAUCUGCUGUUAAUAAACCGUGGUCCUCUUGCGUUACAA
Pogoniulus pusillus (Red-fronted tinkerbird) is the source of this 754-nucleotide long non-coding RNA. RefSeq lists it as uncharacterized. The transcript is spliced from 2 exons. The record is from RefSeq and is a predicted model, not a curated record. NCBI's taxonomy places the organism in Eukaryota, Metazoa, Chordata, Aves, Piciformes, Lybiidae.